UAGCAGAUAAUUAGGUUCUGUCUCACAGGUUCAUUUUCCUGUGACUGGGACGUGAAUAUGACCUACAGCUGGCCUCAAUUUCAGUGUCACAGACAAAACUUUAACCCUUCCUAGUCUUGUCACUACUGUACCGACUGCUGCUGGCGGUCGUUGCAAACGUUUUCCCUGCAGUGUUCAACACAGCACACCCUAGUGAAUCCUCGGGGCUCGUUUCCCAGGUUAUGCUAAUCCCGAGCUAGGAGGGAGAUGGCCAAGCUUGCAUUCACAUGGUACGCUGGAUGGGGAAAAGAGUAUCGUUAGCACCAAAUGAAUAUUGAUUGUCUGGUAUGUAGAUUUGCCGGAAAGUAAUUGCUUGGAGUCAAGGAAUCUGUUGGGGAUGAUCUGUGUUUGGACACCUGAGCCUCUGCAGAACAUGACUGAUUGUGCUGUUCUUUCAAGGACCUACUCAAAGAAGGAGGCUGCCUGAUUUAUUUGUGGAAACCUGAUGAUAGAACUUGGACAAACAGGAAGGUAAGGAAAUCUCUCUGCUCUUAAUCCUAGGAGCAAGACAAAUAUAAUCCAUAGUUCAAGCAACAUUUGUCUCUAAUAAUUGUCCUACAAUGGGAAGGGACGUUGCCCAAACUGUACGCAACAUUAAUGAAGAAAGAGUCAGAAAAGUAGAAAAGGUAUAUUCAGUCCUUUGAGAUAUAGCUGUGUAAAAGUUAGCCUAAAUGGAAAACAGAAACUACAUAUUGCUACAUAACUUUUUUUAAUGAUUGUAGCUUAGCCAAGU
RNAcentral lists this long non-coding RNA (772 nucleotides) under Struthio camelus australis. Its description in RNAcentral is "lncRNA (ENSSCUG00000000322.1)". The record is from RNAcentral. Lineage: Eukaryota; Metazoa; Chordata; Aves; Struthioniformes; Struthionidae.